UAACCUGCCCAAGAGACUGGGAUAACACCUGGAAACAGAUGCUAAUACCGGAUAACAACAGAUGAUGCCUAUCAACUGUUUAAAAGAUGGUUCUGCUAUCACUCUUGGAUGGACCUGCGGUGCAUUAGCUAGUUGGUAGGGUAACGGCCUACCAAGGCGAUGAUGCAUAGCCGAGUUGAGAGACUGAUCGGCCACAUUGGGACUGAGACACGGCCCAAACUCCUACGGGAGGCAGCAGUG
RNAcentral lists this ribosomal RNA (240 nucleotides) under uncultured Lactobacillus sp. RNAcentral describes it as "partial 16S ribosomal RNA". It matches the Rfam family "Bacterial small subunit ribosomal RNA", at positions 122 to 356 of the family's 1533-position model. Lineage: Bacteria; Bacillati; Bacillota; Bacilli; Lactobacillales; Lactobacillaceae. The record is from RNAcentral.